CCUUCGAUAGCUCAGCUGGUAGAGCGGAGGACUGUAGAGGCAGCGGCUGCUUGCGGGAAUCCUUAGGUCGCUGGUUCGAUUCCGGCUCGAAGGA
Molecule: transfer RNA, 94 nt
Filed under: Anolis carolinensis (green anole)
Lineage: Eukaryota; Metazoa; Chordata; Lepidosauria; Squamata; Anolidae
Rfam family: tRNA
About the family: Transfer RNA (tRNA) molecules are approximately 80 nucleotides in length.
Source: Rfam by way of RNAcentral